CCCGCGGCCUAUCAGCUUGUUGGUGGGGUAAUGGCCUACCAAGGCGACGACGGGUAGCCGGCCUGAGAGGGCGACCGGCCACACUGGGACUGAGACACGGCCCAGACUCCUACGGGAGGCAGCAGUGGGGAAUAUUGCACAAUGGGCGAAAGCCUGAUGCAGCGACGCCGCGUGAGGGAUGACGGCCUUCGGGUUGUAAACCUCUUUCAGCAGGGAAGAAGCGCAAGUGACGGUACCUGCAGAAGAAGCGCCGGCUAACUACGUGCCAGCAGCCGCGGUAAUACGUAGGGCGCAAGCGUUGUCCGGAAUUAUUGGGCGUAAAGAGCUCGUAGGCGGCUUGUCACGUCGGAUGUGAAAGCCCGGGGCUUAACCCCGGGUCUGCAUUCGAUACGGGCUAGCUAGAGUGUGGUAGGGGAGAUCGGAAUUCCUGGUGUAGCGGUGAAAUGCGCAGAUAUCAGGAGGAACACCGGUGGCGAAGGCGGAUCUCUGGGCCAUUACUGACGCUGAGGAGCGAAAGCGUGGGGAGCGAACAGGAUUAGAUACCCUGGUAGUCCACGCCGUAAACGUUGGGAACUAGGUGUUGGCGACAUUCCACGUCGUCGGUGCCGCAGCUAACGCA
This 619-nucleotide ribosomal RNA is filed under the name Streptomycetaceae bacterium. RNAcentral describes it as "bacterial SSU rRNA". It matches the Rfam family "Bacterial small subunit ribosomal RNA", at positions 230 to 859 of the family's 1533-position model. The record is from RNAcentral. Lineage: Bacteria; Bacillati; Actinomycetota; Actinomycetes; Kitasatosporales; Streptomycetaceae.